AUUGAACGCUGGCGGCAGGCCUAACACAUGCAAGUCGAGCGGAGCGGCGGACGGGUGAGUAAUGCCUAGGAAUCUGCCUGGUCGUGGGGGAUAACGUCCGGAAACGGGCGCUAAUCCCGCAUACUAUCAGAUAAGCCUAGGUCGGAUUAGCUAGUUGGGGGGGUAGAGGCCUACCAGGGCGACGAUCCGUAACUGGUCUGGGAGGAUGAUCAGCCACACGGGAACGAGGACAAGGGCCAGACUCCAACGGGGGGCAGCAGUGGGGAAUAUUGGACAAUGGGCGAAAGCCUGAUCCAGGCAGGCCGCGUGUGUGAAGAAGGUCUUCGGAUUGUAAAGCACUUUGUGUUGGGAGACGUUACUAACAGAAUAAGCACCGGCUAACUUCGUGCCAGCAGCCGCGGUAAUAC
Molecule: ribosomal RNA, 407 nt
Filed under: uncultured bacterium
Lineage: Bacteria
Description: partial 16S ribosomal RNA
Rfam family: Bacterial small subunit ribosomal RNA
Source: RNAcentral